This 1950-nucleotide long non-coding RNA is filed under the name Homo sapiens (human). RNAcentral describes it as "non-protein coding LINC01134:1". Lineage: Eukaryota; Metazoa; Chordata; Mammalia; Primates; Hominidae. The record is from RNAcentral.
AAGGAAAGGUGCUGGGUUCAAAACAAAAGAAAUUAACAGCAAGCGCGGGGUGGAUGUUCAAAAAAACCACAAACCUGAUUUCAUGGAAACACACCUUUCCCGAGAGCAGUGAUUCUCAGCUCGGGAGAUGCAGGGAGAGCCCCCAAUUAGCCAACGGUUUCAUUUUCUCCUCGUGGGUUAAAAUGAUUAGUUUAUGUUUAAUGUUGUGUCGAGGCAUUAUUUACCUGCAGUCUGAGGCUGUAGUGAGCUAUGACUGCACCACUGCACUCCACCUGGGUGACAGAGUGAGACAGUGUCUCUUCCAGAGCCACAGUCUUAGAGUGGCCUGUAAGUCCUGGCAUGGUGCCUGGCACACUGUGGGUGCCCAGCAGGUGUUUGUCCAAUGAAUGUGCGGAAGGGCUUCUGAGCUUGCUCACCGUUGCCGCUCCCUGCUCCAGCCGCACAGAGUCCCAGCACCUGUUCCCCUGCCCCUCUGCUAUCCACAGUGCCUCCCUCAGCUCCUGACCACUGCAAAGCCUCUUCCCCACUUCCCUGUGCCUGAAAACCUUCUUUCCCCAGCUCCCCAACCCACGUUUUGCCUGGCUAAUCCAUUUGUUAAACCUCAACUCAGCUUAUAUCUCCUGUCCUCAGGGGGCCCUUCCUGGAUGCUCCCCCGCCCCCUACAUUCAAUCUGCCGGUUGCUGCUUUUUUAGUGUUCUGCACUCUUCUACCAGGACCCCGUGGCAGGCCAGGACCGUUUCUCCGGUGCUAUCCCAGAGCAUGGCGCAUCCACUCAUUCACUCAAGGUAUCAAGCUCCACUGUGUUCUGGGGACUGGGCCAGGCGCAAGCCCAGGCAUGGAAUCAUCACACAGAAUUGUACGUUUGCAGUGUGAUGGGAGCCACGGGGGAGAGGCCACAUCCACCCGGGGGAAACAGAGCCUCCUAGUCAAGGCUGGAUGUGCAGUGGAGCCCUGUCUGGACAGGCUACCCCUCCUGACGAGGUGGGAGGUGUUGGCGUGGGCAGAGGAGCCAAUCUUGAAUUCUCUCCCCCGCUCCACCUCAAGCUGCCAUGUGGAAUUGCAGGAGACCCUGGAGGGAGCAGAAAACCAGGCUCGGCCGAAGCCACCUCCACACCACGGUUUCCUGGGUUCCCCAAAACCAGGCUUGGCCGAAGCCACCUCCACACCACAGCUUCCCGGGUUCGCUGUGUCUGCUUCUGUUCUUAUUCCUGAUUAGCUGUGCCCCCACCCGGCCAGGUCAGGGCACAGUGAGACUCCCCAUGGUGGCAGGCGUGUGAAGUCUGUGCAGGCUUGUACGUGGCUGGCCCCCCACCUGAACUGUACGCCCCUGGAAGGCAGGGUCCGUGUUUUGUUCACGGAGGCUGGUGAUACCCAGAGGACAUUGGCUGGCUGGCUGGCUGGCCGGGGGCGAGACGCACACAGAGAACUUGAGGAUUGUGGAUUGGAGGAAACUUUGCAUUCUUGCCCAUACCACAAAUUUCUGACUUAAAACACUGCUGUGCCCCAGUUCAGUAUUUGCCUUUGACAAACACUGUAGGGCCAGUGAGAAAGUUGAAGAGAUUUUUCAACUGACUAGCAGUCGGUAGACCCGUUAACUGAGGCCACCCCGGCCAGAGCACAUUGCAUUCCUGCCAACAGAUGGUGGCCUGUAUGAUGACAGGGCCUCUCUUGCAUAUGGCCUUUUAUAAUUAAAAGAAAGAAGUAAUAGGUAGAAAGAGAGAGAGAGAGGGAGAAGGCAGGGGAAAAAAAGCUUGCAGCAUGCUUUUAAAAUGUCAUCGCACCACUGCACUCCAGCCUGGGUGACAGAGUGAAACUUUGUCAAAAAAAAAAAAAAAGUUCUCUUUGAAUUGACCUAAACUAAUGUUUUCUUAAUAGCCCACCCUCUCCUAUCCUCUCGGUCCACCCGACUUAGCUGGGCAAAAAUAACCCUGUGGUAGGACAGCCGUCUGC